GCCGGGUGUGGUGGCGCACACCUGUAAUCCCAGCUACUUGGAAGGCUGAGGCAGGAGAAUUGCUUGAACCUGGGAGGCGGAGGUUGCAGUGAGCUGAGAUCAAAAUCGUGCCACUGCACUCCAACCUGGGCAACAGAGUGAGACUCUGUCUCAA
This 154-nucleotide non-coding RNA is filed under the name Chlorocebus sabaeus (green monkey). The record is from Rfam by way of RNAcentral. Lineage: Eukaryota; Metazoa; Chordata; Mammalia; Primates; Cercopithecidae.